GAUGAACGCUGGCGGCGUGCCUAAUACAUGCAAGUCGAGCGAACGGACGAGAAGCUUGCUUCUCUGAUGUUAGCGGCGGACGGGUGAGUAACACGUGGAUAACCUACCUAUAAGACUGGGAUAACUUCGGGAAACCGGAGCUAAUACCGGAUGAUAUUUUGAACCGCAUGGUUCAAAAGUGAAAGACGGUCUUGCUGUCACUUAUAGAUGGAUCCGCGCUGCAUUAGCUAGUUGGUAAGGUAACGGCUUACCAAGGCAACGAUGCAUAGCCGACCUGAGAGGGUGAUCGGCCACACUGGAACUGAGACACGGUCCAGACUCCUACGGGAGGCAGCAGUAGGGAAUCUUCCGCAAUGGACGAAGGCCUGACGGAGCAACGCCGCGUGAGUGAUGAAGGUCUUCGGAUCGUAAAACUCUGUUAUUAGGGAAGAACAUAUGUGUAAGUAACUGUGCACAUCUUGACGGUACCUAAUCAGAAAGCCACGGCUAACUACGUG
This 497-nucleotide ribosomal RNA is filed under the name uncultured bacterium. RNAcentral's name for it is "partial 16S ribosomal RNA". It matches the Rfam family "Bacterial small subunit ribosomal RNA", at positions 28 to 507 of the family's 1533-position model. The record is from RNAcentral.